CUUGGUCAUUUAGAGGAAGUAAAAGUCGUAACAAGGUUUCCGUAGGUGAACCUGCGGAAGGAUCAUUAUAAUUGUUUUUACACCCUUUUAGGCACAAACUCUAAAUCUUACCUUCAAUAAUUUUUUAAAAAAACUUUCAACAACGGAUCUCUUGGUUCUCGCAUCGAUGAAGAACGCAGCGAAUUGCGAUACGUAAUAUGACUUGCAGACGUGAAUCAUUGAAUCUUUGAACGCACAUUGCGCCCCGGGGUAUUCCCCAGGGCAUGCGUGGGUGAGCGAUAUUUACUCUCAAACCUCCGGUUUGGUCCUGCUUCGGCCUAAUAUCAACGGCGCUAGAAUAAGUUUUAGCCCCAUUCUUCUUCCUCACCCUCGUAAGACUACCCGCUGAACUUAAGCAUAUCAAUAAGCGGAGGAAAAGAAACCAACAGGGAUUGCCUCAGUAACGGCGAGUGAAGCGGCAAAAGCUCAAAUUUGAAAUCCCCCGGGAAUUGUAAUUUGAAGAGAUUUGGGUCCGGCCGGCGGGGGUUAAGUCCACUGGAAAGUGGCGCCACAGAGGGUGACAGCCCCGUGAACCCCUUCAACGCCUUCAUCCCAGAUCUCCAAGAGUCGAGUUGUUUGGGAAU
This 623-nucleotide small RNA is filed under the name uncultured Ascomycota. RNAcentral's name for it is "eukaryotic LSU rRNA". The stretch from base 358 to 623 matches the Rfam family "Eukaryotic large subunit ribosomal RNA", at positions 1 to 281 of the family's 3401-position model. Lineage: Eukaryota; Fungi; Ascomycota. The record is from RNAcentral.